This 759-nucleotide long non-coding RNA is filed under the name Ananas comosus (pineapple). RNAcentral describes it as "long non-coding RNA (ACOM_LNC028358)". The record is from RNAcentral. Lineage: Eukaryota; Viridiplantae; Streptophyta; Magnoliopsida; Poales; Bromeliaceae.
GACCGCUGGACUGAUUGUCCAUGGUCCGUUAGCUUUCGCGGAAAUCGGUAGGUCGAUUUCGAUGCGUUUUUCGGCGAAAUUCGCCGAAAGAACGCGGUUUCGGUUAGGAUUCUUUCCGACGGUGUUUGGUUGCUUCGUGUUUUGUCGCUGAGCCUUGUUGGCUGGUCACCAUCAUCAUUUUGUGGGUUUGAUGAUGAUGGGUGAACGACGGUGGGUUCCGGUGUCGAAAUAGACACUUCCGGGAACCCGGAUUCGUACGAUUAUCCGACGAUGAUCGUAUUGUUGUGUUACCUCGUGUUAGCUGCCAAGGCAUCCAAAUUGGAAUGUUUUGGGGCAGCGGGUGAUUCGUGGUACGAGUCGGUGAGUUCGGGACACUUGGUGGGUCCCGACGGCGUCCCGGUGUGGUUUUCGGGACUUCCGGUGAGUUACGGUGAUCGGUUUUGGGAAACCGAUUCGAGGAUCUGUGUAGGGGUUUGUGAGUCUCGUGCUUUGGGUUAGUGGUUUGGAUAUUGACUUGGUGGAUCUUCUUAGGUCCGGUAGACUCUGUGCGUACCCAGUGUUCCGACGCGACAGUGACAGGUGGGUGCUUCGAGCUGGUAGUCGGUGAGAGCGUUUCACCUCCUUCUCCUGUUUUUCUAUUCCAGUAUAUUAGCUCUACAUGUCAGUUGUUUGGUUAUCGUUUGGUUAUCGUAUUCCGUUGACUGCAUUGGUUAGUGAUUGAUAGACAUGUAGAGCAGGUUGCAUUUGUAUUUCAGUACC